This is a long non-coding RNA of Vicia villosa (hairy vetch), 524 nucleotides long. RefSeq lists it as uncharacterized. Lineage: Eukaryota; Viridiplantae; Streptophyta; Magnoliopsida; Fabales; Fabaceae. The record is from RefSeq and is a predicted model, not a curated record. The transcript has 2 exons.
AUAUCUUUAUUAUCAUGAGACGUCAAAAAGAAUUACUUUAACGAUUAGCAAAUUUAUUGUGUAACCUCUUUACUAAGUGCACUAAAUAAAUAAACAUAAUACGUUAAUAUACUUAAAAAAUAUUUAAUGAGAAUUAUAAAUUGAUGAAGGGUCUUUGUAACCUCAUAAGAGCUAAAAUCUAUUUCAUUAUAUUUAUAAGAUCAUGAACUUUAUACACUAUACGAAUAUUAAUUCAUAAUAAUCUAUUUUCUACCUGCAAUAAGAAAAAAAUAUGGUUGUGAUUCUCAAGUUUGUUAAUAUUUUGAUUCUAUUUUUUUUCUUAUUUCUUGUUACAAUAGAAGUGGGUGGUCAACAUACUAAAUGUGAGACAGAUGGUGAUUGCCCAAAAAAUGUGAACUUAUUUUUUGUUAGUAAGUGCAUUGAUAACAAAUGUGAAUGGAUCAGAAAAAUUUUAUGAUUUACGUUGUUUUGUUAACAAAAGAAAUUUUAAUAAAAUUUAUGAUAGACUAUUUUAUAAAUUGUAA